CUUGGUCAUUUAGAGGAAGUAAAAGUCGUAACAAGGUCUCCGUAGGUGAACCUGCGGAGGGAUCAUUACAAGAACGCCCGGGCUACGGCCUGGUUAUUCAUAACCCUUUGUUGUCCGACUCUGUUGCCUCCGGGGCGACCCUGCCUUCGGGCGGGGGCUCCGGGUGGACACUUCAAACUCUUGCGUAACUUUGCAGUCUGAGUAAACUUAAUUAAUAAAUUAAAACUUUUAACAACGGAUCUCUUGGUUCUGGCAUCGAUGAAGAACGCAGCGAAAUGCGAUAAGUAAUGUGAAUUGCAGAAUUCAGUGAAUCAUCGAAUCUUUGAACGCACAUUGCGCCCCCUGGUAUUCCGGGGGGCAUGCCUGUUCGAGCGUCAUUUCACCACUCAAGCCUCGCUUGGUAUUGGGCAACGCGGUCCGCCGCGUGCCUCAAAUCGUCCGGCUGGGUCUUCUGUCCCCUAAGCGUUGUGGAAACUAUUCGCUAAAGGGUGUUCGGGAGGCUACGCCGUAAAACAACCCCAUUUCUAAGGUUGACCUCGGAUCAGGUAGGGAUACCCGCUGAACUUAAGCAUAUCAAUAAGCGGAGGA
This 588-nucleotide ribosomal RNA is filed under the name uncultured Davidiella. RNAcentral's name for it is "partial 18S ribosomal RNA". The stretch from base 224 to 377 matches the Rfam family "5.8S ribosomal RNA". The record is from RNAcentral. Lineage: Eukaryota; Fungi; Ascomycota; Dothideomycetes; Cladosporiales; Cladosporiaceae.